Molecule: ribosomal RNA, 253 nt
Filed under: uncultured bacterium
Lineage: Bacteria
Description: partial 16S ribosomal RNA
Rfam family: Bacterial small subunit ribosomal RNA
Source: RNAcentral
GCGGAAACGACACUAACAAUCCUUCGGGUGCGUUAAUGGGCGUCGAGCGGCGGACGGGUGAGUAAUGCUUGGGAAUAUGCCUUAUGGUGGGGGACAACAGUUGGAAACGACUGCUAAUACCGCAUAACGUCUACGGACCAAAGGGGGGGAUCUUCGGACCUCUCGCGUUAAGAUAUGCCUAGGUGGGAUUAGCUAGUUGGUGAGGUAAUGGCUCACCAAGGCGACGAUCUCUAGCUGGUUUGAGAGGAUGAUC